RNAcentral lists this ribosomal RNA (403 nucleotides) under Verrucomicrobiota bacterium. RNAcentral's name for it is "Verrucomicrobia bacterium partial 16S ribosomal RNA". It matches the Rfam family "Bacterial small subunit ribosomal RNA", at positions 355 to 776 of the family's 1533-position model. Lineage: Bacteria; Pseudomonadati; Verrucomicrobiota. The record is from RNAcentral.
UGGGGAAUAUUGCACAAUGGGGGAAACCCUGAUGCAGCGACGCCGCGUGAGCGAAGAAUGUUUUCGAAUCGUAAAGCUCUGUCCUAUGAGAAGAUAAUGACGGUAUCAUAGGAGGAAGCCCCGGCUAAAUACGUGCCAGCAGCCGCGGUAAUACGUAUGGGGCGAGCGUUGUCCGGAAUUAUUGGGCGUAAAGGGUACGUAGGCGGUCUAUUAAGUCAGGUGUGAAAGCGUGAGGCUUAACCUCAUUAAGCACUUGAAACUGAUAGACUUGAGUGAAGGAGAGGAAAGUGGAAUUCCUAGUGUAGCGGUGAAAUGCGUAGAUAUUAGGAGGAAUACCGGUGGCGAAGGCGACUUUCUGGACUUUUACUGACGCUCAGGUACGAAAGCGUGGGGAGCAAACAGG